AACCGCUGUAGGGAAAUACGGAAUGAUGGAUGCUAGGUUUAGGCGAUGCAGAUGGAAAUGAGAGAAAUUACAGCGCCAAUUUUAGGUAUCAAAUGAUUCCAUUCUGGCUGCAUCUUUUUUGUAAUGGAAACCACAAUGAAGGUAAGCAUCUUUGAUUACAUUAAUCCUUGUAUUCGGUUAAAACUUUCUCGCAUAUCAAUAUUGUCAAAACCUAAAAUCCCCUCAAACAAAUAAAGAAUAUAGCAGCAUUCCAGUUA
Molecule: long non-coding RNA, 257 nt
Organism: Helianthus annuus (common sunflower)
Lineage: Eukaryota; Viridiplantae; Streptophyta; Magnoliopsida; Asterales; Asteraceae
Exons: 2
Source: RefSeq, a predicted model, not a curated record